CUUCGGGGUGGAUUAGUGGCGAACGGGUGAGUAACACGUGGGCAAUCUGCCCUUCACUCUGGGACAAGCCCUGGAAACGGGGUCUAAUACCGGAUAACACUUCUUCGGGCAUCUGAAGAGGUUAAAAGCUCCGGCGGUGAAGGAUGAGCCCGCGGCCUAUCAGCUUGUUGGUGGGGUAAUGGCCUACCAAGGCGACGACGGGUAGCCGGCCUGAGAGGGCGACCGGCCACACUGGGACUGAGACACGGCCCAGACUCCUACGGGAGGCAGCAGUGGGGAAUAUUGCACAAUGGGCGAAAGCCUGAUGCAGCGACGCCGCGUGAGGGAUGACGGCCUUCGGGUUGUAAACCUCUUUCAGCAGGGAAGAAGCGAAAGUGACGGUACCUGCAGAAGAAGCGCCGGCUAACUACGUGCCAGCAGCCGCGGUAAUACGUAGGGCGCAAGCGUUGUCCGGAAUUAUUGGGCGUAAAGAGCUCGUAGGCGGCUUGUCGCGUCGGAUGUGAAAGCCCGGGGCUUAACCCCGGGUCUGCAUUCGAUACGGGCAGGCUAGAGUGUGGUAGGGGAGAUCGGAAUUCCUGGUGUAGCGGUGAAAUGCGCAGAUAUCAGGAGGAACACCGGUGGCGAAGGCGGAUCUCUGGGCCAUUACUGACGCUGAGGAGCGAAAGCGUGGGGAGCGAACAGGAUUAGAUACCCUGGUAGUCCACGCCGUAAACGUUGGGAACUAGGUGUUGGCGACAUUCCACGUCGUCGGUGCCGCAGCUAACGCAU
Molecule: ribosomal RNA, 768 nt
Filed under: Streptomyces scopiformis
Lineage: Bacteria; Bacillati; Actinomycetota; Actinomycetes; Kitasatosporales; Streptomycetaceae
Description: bacterial SSU rRNA
Rfam family: Bacterial small subunit ribosomal RNA
Source: RNAcentral